This 465-nucleotide long non-coding RNA is filed under the name Bos taurus (domestic cattle). RNAcentral describes it as "long non-coding RNA NONBTAT015012". The record is from RNAcentral. Lineage: Eukaryota; Metazoa; Chordata; Mammalia; Artiodactyla; Bovidae.
UAAGCCUUCUCAUUUGAAAUUCUAAUUUUACCAAAAGAGAAAAUGCAGUUUUUAUGAAUUUUGGUAGAAAUUUCUAAUGCCAUAUUCUUUAAGAAAAUUUUUACUCUUAAUGCAACCUAGAAUACAUAUACAUAAAAUACAACAAGUAUGAUUUAUCUCUUGAAAAAUGAAGCUGAUUGUUCUCAAUUAGUAUUGCCUUCAAAAAGAGAUCUAGCUUACUGACUUCCAAUAAACUUAAAUUAUCAAAUUUAGAUUGUUUAGUAGGGUCUUAAACUGUUUUAACUCUUUUAGUUGUUUAUAGAAUAAUACUUAAAAUUAUGAAAAAUUAUCAAGUAAUUCCUUGAUGUAAAUAAACAUCAUUAUAUUAAAGAAAAAUUGAGUCAUUAUGCUUGAAUGAGCAGUUGACUCCCCUCUAGGUCACCAUAAAUUGUUGGAAUUAACAAGUCUUCUAUUAUAACAUUUUCU